This 465-nucleotide ribosomal RNA is filed under the name Vreelandella stevensii. RNAcentral describes it as "partial 16S ribosomal RNA". It matches the Rfam family "Bacterial small subunit ribosomal RNA", at positions 338 to 795 of the family's 1533-position model. The record is from RNAcentral. Lineage: Bacteria; Pseudomonadati; Pseudomonadota; Gammaproteobacteria; Oceanospirillales; Halomonadaceae.
CCUACGGGGUGCUGCAGUGGGGAAUAUUGGACAAUGGGGGCAACCCUGAUCCAGCCAUGCCGCGUGUGUGAAGAAGGCCCUCGGGUUGUAAAGCACUUUCAGUGAGGAAGAACGCCUGGUGGUUAAUACCCAUCAGGAAAGACAUCACUCACAGAAGAAGCACCGGCUAACUCCGUGCCAGCAGCCGCGGUAAUACGGAGGGUGCGAGCGUUAAUCGGAAUUACUGGGCGUAAAGCGCGCGUAGGUGGCUUGAUAAGCCGGUUGUGAAAGCCCCGGGCUCAACCUGGGAACGGCAUCCGGAACUGUCAAGCUAGAGUGCAGGAGAGGAAGGUAGAAUUCCCGGUGUAGCGGUGAAAUGCGUAGAGAUCGGGAGGAAUACCAGUGGCGAAGGCGGCCUUCUGGACUGACACUGACACUGAGGUGCGAAAGCGUGGGUAGCAAACAGGAUUAGAUACCCGGGUAGUC